GAUCAAGUGAAAGAAGGGCAUUUGGUGGAUGCCUUGGCAUGCACAGGCGAUGAAGGACGUGAUACGCUGCGAAAAGCCGUGGGGAGCUGCGAAUGAGCUUUGAUCCAUGGAUCUCCGAAUGGGGCAACCCACCUUAGAUGCUUGGAAAAUCAUUUUGGUUGGCA
RNAcentral lists this ribosomal RNA (164 nucleotides) under Ensifer meliloti. Its description in RNAcentral is "Sinorhizobium meliloti partial 23S ribosomal RNA". It matches the Rfam family "Bacterial large subunit ribosomal RNA", at positions 1 to 166 of the family's 2925-position model. The record is from RNAcentral. Lineage: Bacteria; Pseudomonadati; Pseudomonadota; Alphaproteobacteria; Hyphomicrobiales; Rhizobiaceae.